Molecule: long non-coding RNA, 780 nt
Filed under: Homo sapiens (human)
Lineage: Eukaryota; Metazoa; Chordata; Mammalia; Primates; Hominidae
Description: HSALNT0179462
Source: RNAcentral
UCCCUUGGAGCAAAAUUUGUCAAACACAGAAUGGAAACAGAGCUUGCUAUCAACGUGCUGAAAAUGCUUGUUGCUGGAUACAAAAUGUGAUAUCAAGAUACUCCAGAGAUACGCCCUUGCUGUUUCUCUAGAGUCCUUCUCUUCAGGCUCCAGUUAGUAGUUGCUGCCUAGGAGAUGAAGUGAAUUUCACAAGAAAGACAUAAGAAGCCAACAACUGAUUUGGAAUGAUCUGAGAGACUGACACAAAAAUGCUAUUACCCCUGUAUGCACACAAGUUGAACCUAACGGCAUUAAAAGAAAAGGACAAGCUGUGAAAUGCCUAGAUUCCAGAGCAACAGACUGUGAUCCAUUCCCAACAACCCCUCCCUACCGUCUGCCACCAGUUCCCUUAAAGCAGGAAUCAGAGCUAGACUGACUCAACUAAGUGGAAAAUAUGUAUUGCCUAGGAAUUUGAAUUCUGACAGAAAUGUUGAGGAGAGGAGUAAAUCAUAUUAAAGAAUUGUUUUGGAGAACUUGGAACUCAACAUUCCAUAAAGCAAGAAGCUUGACAUAGCAUCGAUGAGCCCAAGUCAACUAUAUGAACAAAACAAUGUCUCAGGAGGGGCAGGGUAUCACGUCAGAAGAAUCCUGAGUCCUUAGAUGACCUUGUAGAAAAGAGCCACAAACUUACUCUGGGCUACCUUCAUACCUCUGAACUAUUAUGCAGAGAGAAAUAAAUGUAUUCAAAUCACUGUUUUUUGGGUUUCUUCAUUCAUGUAGCUUAGCCUAUAACCUAAGUAA